UAGUUUCUACGGGAAAUGAAGUAGGAAGGAACGCAGCCAGGGAAACUAGCUGGGCCAGGAGGGGUCAGACCCCUGAACAAGUGAGCUGAUCUCUCAAGGAGGAGCUGGAUCGGUGUGAGGGAGAGCGGUCCAUCCCGGCCCAGCCACCAUGUCCAUCCACUUCAGCUCCCCGGUAUUCACCUCGCGCUCAGCCGCCUUCUCGGGCCGCGGCGCCCAGGUGCGCCUGAGCUCCGCUCGCCCCGGCGGCCUUGGCAGCAGCAGCCUCUACGGCCUCGGCGCCUCGCGGCCGCGC
Molecule: small RNA, 292 nt
Filed under: Pan troglodytes (chimpanzee)
Lineage: Eukaryota; Metazoa; Chordata; Mammalia; Primates; Hominidae
Description: processed transcript
Source: RNAcentral